GGAUUUGGAUCUGCACCAUCUUCUGUAACCUGGAAUCCAAAACCAAGACGUGUUAGAAGAUGAGUUGGAAAAGUAGUUAUUGCACGCUUACACGACUACUUUCGAAUUGCUAGUCUUAACCACCAGGCAGAUCAAAAGCAGCAGCUGAUGUAAGUUUGCAGUGGGAGAGUUUGGAGGAAGAGAGAUAUCUCUCAUCAUUCCUACGCAGAUCGUAAGUCCAGAAGGUUGGGUUCAGCUACUCAGGUUUCCUGCACAUUCCCAUGGACCUACUUCAGAAUCUCCUGGAGCAACACUUGGAGGCCAGGUUAAAUUACAGUGCCUUUCAUCCCUCAUUUCUAGAAGCCACAACACACAAACACAAGAUGUCUGGCUUUUGUAAGUGUUUCAAGAAAAUCCCCACUGAGAUUUAAGCAUAUUCAGCACAGAAAUUCUUAAAGAAUUAAUGCAGUUUUGAAAAGUGUGUUAAAUAUUGAUCCUUAUUUCAACCUACCAGAAGCUAGGACAGUAACUUUAUUUGAAAGCUAUGCCUAGGUGCUUUGACUUAAAAAAAGAAAUUCUAGAGAUGAGAUUAUGAAAAUGGAAAACUGGAAACUUCUCAGAAUUAAUUCUAUACAAGCAAGUUUGAGGGCAUUCUGCAAACUCAGUGAUUAGAUUGGAAGAUAUUAGCUUCAUACUAAAAACUGCAUGUCACAGGAAUUUAAAUGUUAAUGCUUAUUAAAAUAUA
Molecule: long non-coding RNA, 724 nt
Organism: Gallus gallus (chicken)
Lineage: Eukaryota; Metazoa; Chordata; Aves; Galliformes; Phasianidae
Exons: 2
Source: RefSeq, a predicted model, not a curated record